Molecule: transfer RNA, 66 nt
Filed under: Artemia parthenogenetic lineage
Lineage: Eukaryota; Metazoa; Arthropoda; Branchiopoda; Anostraca; Artemiidae
Also listed under: 4 other names
Description: tRNA-Gln
Source: RNAcentral
UAUAUAUAGGUGUUUUGUGCACGUAGGAUUUUGAUUCCUAAAGAGGAAUUUACAUUUCAUAUAUAA